GAUGAACGCUGGCGGCGUGCCUAAUACAUGCAAGUCGAGCGAACGGACGAGAAGCUUGCUUCUCUGAUGUUAGCGGCGGACGGGUGAGAAACACGUGGAUAACCUACCUAUAAGACUGGGAUAACUUCGGGAAACCGGAGCUAAUACCGGAUAAUAUUUUGAACCGCAUGGUUCAAAAGUGAAAGACGGUCUUGCUGUCACUUAUAGAUGGAUCCGCGCUGCAUUAGCUAGUUGGUAAGGUAACGGCUUACCAAGGCAACGAUGCAUAGCCGACCUGAGAGGGUGAUCGGCCACCCUGGAACUGAGACACGGUCAAGACUCCUACGGGAGGCAGCAGUAGGGAAUCUUCCGCAAUGGGCGAAAGCCUGACGGAGCAACGCCGCGUGAGUGAUGAAGAUCUUCGGAUCGUAAAACUCUGUUAUUAGGGAAGAACAUAUGUGUAAGUACCUGUGCACAUCUUGACGGUACCUAAUCAGAAAGCCACGGCUAACUACGUG
This 497-nucleotide ribosomal RNA is filed under the name uncultured bacterium. RNAcentral's name for it is "partial 16S ribosomal RNA". It matches the Rfam family "Bacterial small subunit ribosomal RNA", at positions 28 to 507 of the family's 1533-position model. The record is from RNAcentral.